AUUUACCCAGGUUCGGCCCCUCGUGUGGAGGUAAAAGCCUAUGUCCUGCUUUGUGUAGAUUGAUGAUGGAUUCGAUUACAAGGAGGGCGUAACUCGCCUGACCUAGCUCUCGAUGAUUUCUAACCUACCCUAUCUGCCCCAGAGACUCGCCUUUAUAUACAGGUCGAGGCCCUAGGGUUUACAAGAGUCCUAACCACGCUAUAGAUCGUGGCCUUCCAUAUCUCUAAGUCGCCGUGUUUCCAAGACUGGAAACCUCCUUGGCGGGUUAUCUUCUGCAUCAAUUCUGAACCGCCAUCCGGCUCAUGGGCACCUCGGCUAAGGCUUGUAUUAACAAAGUAUGAGUCGCCCCUUUAGUGACCCGGCACAGUUAGGGCGGGUUACACCGCAGGUAAUAUCCCCAACACAUUCCCAAGUCCUCUCUCCUCCCCUGGCCGUCGCCACGGUCAUGCCGGCGCACGAACUUUCGGUGAAUCGUGCCCUUCUAUAUAACGCCACCCCGAGCCUCCCUCCCUUCGACCUCAUGCUACACCUAAUUGCACCCCUGAACCAAACAUUCAUCGCCAGGAGCCCCAAAGCUCGAGAUCGAGCUCCGGAUCCGCCACAUCAGGAUUCCAGCAAUCCCCGGGUACAAGGCCGCUCCGGCUCCCAUUUCUUUUACAAAGGAAUCACAACAUCUUCAUGAUGCUUUCCCCUCUCUCUCCCUUGUUUGUUU
This 712-nucleotide long non-coding RNA is filed under the name Hordeum vulgare. Its description in RNAcentral is "long non-coding RNA (HVUL_LNC009053)". Lineage: Eukaryota; Viridiplantae; Streptophyta; Magnoliopsida; Poales; Poaceae. The record is from RNAcentral.